AUUUCUUUCUGGUGAGUGAGAGGCAAUGCUUGAGUUGGAGCUCUUCCUGUGGCCGGGAUAUUGAGAAGUCACCCUGCAAAGAAGCCCUUGGCGAGCUGUCCCCAAGAAUGACAACGGCGAUUUGAAAUUUCUGACUUGUAACCUCGGGGACCUGCAGACGUGGAACCCUUCAGGCCAAGACCACAAGGUCUCCCAGCAGCCCCCAGACGCCUGUCCAGGCAGACUCUCUCCGUCUCCAUAUACCACACGCAUGUUCUAUUUAUAUGUUUCUUUGUCCUGAACAAGAUUUGGCCCCAUUGUGUGGGAGCAACACCAGAAAAGAAAAACACAAUUCACCCACAGAGAGAAAAACAGAGAUUGUGGGAGCUUGGAGGAAUUUACAUACUCUGCUUGCUUCAUUUUCGGGUGAUGUCAGAGUCAUGGAAUAUGCCUUUGAAAAACAUCACACACACACACACACACACACACACACACACGCACACACGCUCACCAGCUACGUCAAGUGGAUUGUCAUUAAAAGGAGAAAUGUAAACACUAGCUUCUCUGCCCCUCCCCUCCAUUUCCUUCAUCAACCGCUAAAGAACCUAACAAAUUAGUCCAGACUGCAUUUGGAUGGAAUGAAAGGCCUGUCUGCAAAGGAGGAGGGGUG
Molecule: long non-coding RNA, 649 nt
Filed under: Heterocephalus glaber (naked mole-rat)
Lineage: Eukaryota; Metazoa; Chordata; Mammalia; Rodentia; Bathyergidae
Description: lncRNA (ENSHGLG00000033851.1)
Source: RNAcentral